UUUUUUCCAGAAAGUGGAGGAGAAGCGAGCUGGUAGAGAACCUCGCAGGUGAUUUAUGGAAGGAGAGUUGGCUGUCCUGCCAGUGGAGUCCUUACAUGCACUUAGAGCUGUCAAGAUCACAAGCACUGCAUAAAUACUCUGGCCUGGAUCCAAAAAGAUGGAUUUCUGAAAGAGGAAAGAGUAGAAGACUGAAGUAAGGAAUGAUUUUUGCUUUUGUGAUCUUCGUACCAUAUUGUAAAUGUGCACAGUAAUUUGACAGGACUGUUGAUGCUCAUGUGCAUUUCCUUGAAUUAACAUUAGAGCUGUAGUACUGACUUAGGGUGCUUAGUUUAUUGUAAAACACUUAAUCUUACACUGAAAUAUAUAUAUAUACAUGA
Molecule: non-coding RNA, 377 nt
Organism: Taeniopygia guttata (zebra finch)
Lineage: Eukaryota; Metazoa; Chordata; Aves; Passeriformes; Estrildidae
Source: RefSeq, a predicted model, not a curated record